CAGAUAAACAAUCUGGCCUUUUCAUUAGCUCUUAGUAGGAUUACACAUGCAAGCAUCCCCACCCCAGUGAAAAUGCCCUCUGGAUCACCGGCUCAAAAGGAGCAGGUAUCAAGCAUGCACGAAUGCAACUCAAAACACUUUGCUCAACCAUAUCCCCAAGGGAAACAGCAGUGAUAAAUCCUUAGUAAUAAACGAAAGUUUGACCAAGCCAUACUAAUAUUUAGGGUUGGUUAAUUUUGUGCCAGCCACUGCAGCCAUAAGAUUAACUCGAGCUAAUAGAACUUGGCGUAAAGAGUGUUUAAGGUCUACCCUCAAUAAAGCUAAGCUCCAUCUAAGCUGUAAAAAACUCCAGCUGACAUAAAAUAUACUAUGAAAGUGACUUUAAUAUCCUGAAGACACAAUAGCUAAAAUCCAAACUCGGAUUAGAUACCCCACUAUGCUUAGCCCUAAACUCUAAUAGUUAUAUUAACAAAACCAUUCACCAGAGUACCACAAACAACAGCUUAAAACUCAAAGGACUUGGCGGUGCUUUAUAUCCCUCUAAAGGAGCGUGUUCUAUAAUCGAUAAACCCUGGUGCUCCUCACCACCUCUUGCCCCUAGCCUAUAUACUGCCAUCUUCAGCAAACCCUAAAAAGGUCACAAAGUAAGCACAAGUACACAUAUAAAAACAUUAGGUCAAGGUGUAGCCCAUGAGGUGGCACGAAAUGGGCUACAUUUUCUAUGUCCAGAAAAUCUCACAACAACCUUUAGGAAAUCUAAGGGCUCAAGGAGGAUUUAGCAGUAAACCAAGAGCAGAGUGCUUGGUUGAAUAAGGCCAUGAAGCAUGCACACACCGCCCGUCACCCUCCUCAAAUAUUACUCUAGAAAUCACUAUUACUAAUAGUUUUCUAUGAACAUAUAGAGGAGAUAAGUUGCAACAUGGUAAGCAUACUGGGAAGUGCGCUUGGACAAACCAAAGU
Molecule: ribosomal RNA, 960 nt
Organism: Gorilla gorilla gorilla (western lowland gorilla)
Lineage: Eukaryota; Metazoa; Chordata; Mammalia; Primates; Hominidae
Rfam family: Bacterial small subunit ribosomal RNA
Source: Rfam